AUACGGAGGGGGUUAGCGUUGUUCGGAAUUACGGGGCGUAAAGCGCACGUAGGCGGAUUGGAAAGUUGGGGGUGAAAUCCCAGAGCUCAACCCUGGAACUGCCUCCAAAACUAACAGUCUAGAGUUCGAGAGAGGUGAGUGGAAUUCCAAGUGUAGAGGUGAAAUUCGUAGAUAUUUGGAGGAACACCAGUGGCGAAGGCGGCUCACUGGCUCGAUACUGACGCUGAGGUGCGAAAGCGUGGGGAGCAAACAGGAUUAGAUACCCCAGUAGUCC
Molecule: ribosomal RNA, 274 nt
Filed under: uncultured bacterium
Lineage: Bacteria
Description: partial 16S ribosomal RNA
Rfam family: Bacterial small subunit ribosomal RNA
Source: RNAcentral